This 408-nucleotide unclassified non-coding RNA is filed under the name fungal sp. RNAcentral's name for it is "partial internal transcribed spacer region". The record is from RNAcentral. Lineage: Eukaryota; Fungi.
CUUGGUCAAGAGCAGCAAAGCCACCGAGGGUAGUACGAACGUAGCCAGCUCGGGUUUCGAAAAAGCCGACAAGCCGGACGCCAAGGACGCCACGGAGCUGGAGAUCUCCGCUGGUGGGCUCGCUUCGGCGGGCAAUUCGCGCUCGAUGGCGGCUACGUCUGCAGGCAAAUUCCGGCUGCGCCGCAGCGCCGAUCAAUUUGGGGCCGCGAUCGCCGCAAACUACGCGGAAUCGGCGGUAAACAAAGGCCAAGGCCUGGAGACGACGGUCGAGAACUUUCAGGCUAGGGUCCGCUACGACCGAUUCUUGGCCGGCUCAUUCGCCAUGUUCGGUGCGGUCUCCGCUCGUCAUGACCGCUUUCAGGGCCUCGACCUGCGAAUCAACCUGGAUCCGGGCUUCGGCUACUACUU